RNAcentral lists this ribosomal RNA (359 nucleotides) under uncultured Acetobacteraceae bacterium. Its description in RNAcentral is "bacterial SSU rRNA". It matches the Rfam family "Bacterial small subunit ribosomal RNA", at positions 30 to 412 of the family's 1533-position model. The record is from RNAcentral. Lineage: Bacteria; Pseudomonadati; Pseudomonadota; Alphaproteobacteria; Acetobacterales; Acetobacteraceae.
AGCGAACGCUGGCGGAAUGCUUAACACAUGCAAGUCGCGCGGGGGCUUCGGCCUUAGCGGCGGACGGGUGAGUAACGCGUAGGAACGUGUCCAGGGAUGGGGGGAUAACGCCGGGAAACUGGCGCUAAUACCGCAUAUGGCCUUUGGGUCAAAGCCUUCGGGUGUCUUGGGAGCGGCCUGCGUCCGAUUAGGUAGUUGGUGGGGUAAAGGCCUACCAAGCCUGUGAUCGGUAGCUGGUCUGAGAGGACGAUCAGCCACACUGGGACUGAGACACGGCCCAGACUCCUACGGGAGGCAGCAGUGGGGAAUAUUGGGCAAUGGGCGCAAGCCUGACCCAGCAAAGCCGCGUGGGUGAAGAA